AGCAUAGGAUACAAGGUGGAAGGCUAUUAUAUAAACAAGGGUGCUUUGUUCUCACUGUGCCUUAACCAGGUAUUUGUACGGUGUAAAACUUGCAGAUACAACCUCUGUUCAAAUGGUGACAAAACCAUUCAUACUAAUUAAGUCACUCAUCAGCGGAAAUGUGAAGAUAACAACUUCCUUCAUUCGCUUCAACUCACCGAGUUCCUGACAAAUGAGGGGAACUUAGAAACUCUGAAAGUUCCAUUGCCAAUGUUGGUUCCCGACAGAUGCGAGAAUUGCUUUGGGAUUGGGUGUAUUCAAUCAGUAGCUAGCAACACCAGGACCUCUUUAAUCAACCAUCUUGGUUAUGGGAUGUGUUUAUGAAUUAUUUUUAGGAUGCAUAAUAAUAAAGGAUGUGUUAGUUUUUAGGACGUUUCGAUUGCUUUUCCACAGUUAUUGAAUGUACAAAAUGCAAUGCAUCUCGAAGCCCUACUGUAGCCGAGUAUGUUCUUUCUGGCUAUUGGCCGGGAUUGGUUACGAAUGAAAACUAUUUUUUUAAAGAGCAGUGGCUUCUAUUAUAUUACCACAUUCAUCACGAGACUAGUGGUUCUUCACAGCAAAAGAUUGUCGAAGCUAUAGCAGAAAUGUCUCGUCAUGAUGAUAGGGUUGGUUUAUUGUUAUAGUCUUUUAAAUGUAUCAAUAAUGUGAACAAAUUGUUCUAUUUAGAUCAAGUUCUGUUUGACAGAGCCCGUAAAGAGUUUGAAUUUAACCGUCUCACGGUCAAAAAAACUAUUACUUCGAUUUUUGGCCGGACGCAAAGUGACGCAAAGCUUGUGGUAUUGAUCCAGCUCUAGAGGAAGAAGAUCUGAUUAUGGGUACAAGAAAGUGGUGUUCGAAAUAACUAAAUAUAGUUUUCUAAUUAAAUUUUUUUUGUAGACUAAGAAAUGAUCUUAAUUUUUCUUAAUACAAAAUUACUUGGACGAUCGAAGAUUAUCCCUGAAGUGACGUAGAUAAAUCGGGUUUUUAUUCGUGGUUAAAACUUGAACUUGUAAUGGUGUCAAAGACUCCAAUCCUGUUAUUUUUUUACCUCCCACAAUCAUUCUUAACAUAUAUCCUGUGACUAAAUAGAAAAUAUUGAGCAGAUAAACAUGAUUUUUAUCUUGAGAGGAUUCGCCUAAUAUGAAGACUAUAAAUACGAAAAAGCUGUUUUAAUUUCCCGUCUAACUAUUACAGGAGGAAGAUGAGGUCUGCAAACUGAAAUUAAAUUCAAUUGCUAAGUCAAACCGCCCCCCCCCCCC
Daphnia pulicaria is the source of this 1277-nucleotide long non-coding RNA. RefSeq lists it as uncharacterized. Lineage: Eukaryota; Metazoa; Arthropoda; Branchiopoda; Diplostraca; Daphniidae. The record is from RefSeq and is a predicted model, not a curated record. The transcript has 2 exons.